RNAcentral lists this ribosomal RNA (489 nucleotides) under uncultured Pseudomonas sp. Its description in RNAcentral is "bacterial SSU rRNA". It matches the Rfam family "Bacterial small subunit ribosomal RNA", at positions 898 to 1382 of the family's 1533-position model. The record is from RNAcentral. Lineage: Bacteria; Pseudomonadati; Pseudomonadota; Gammaproteobacteria; Pseudomonadales; Pseudomonadaceae.
AACUUAAAGGAAUUGAGGGGGCCCGCACAAGCGGUGGAGCAUGUGGUUUAAUUCGACGCAACGCGAAGAACCUUACCGGGGCUUGACAUCUUUCUGACCGCCUGGGAAACCAGGUCUUCUUCCUUCGGGAAGACAGAAAGACAGGUGGUGCAUGGUUGUCGUCAGCUCGUGUCGUGAGAUGUUGGGUUAAGUCCCACAACGAGCGCAACCCUUGUCCUUAUUUGCCAGCCUGUUAUGGUGGGCACUCUAAGGAGACUGCCGGUGACAAACCGGAGGAAGGUGGGGAUGACGUCAAGUCAUCAUGGCCCUUACGGCCUGGGCUACACACGUGCUACAAUGGUCGGUACAAAGGGUUGCCAAGCCGCGAGGUGGAGCUAAUCCCAUAAAACCGAUCGUAGUCCGGAUCGCAGUCUGCAACUCGACUGCGUGAAGUCGGAAUCGCUAGUAAUCGUGAAUCAGAAUGUCACGGUGAAUACGUUCCCGGGCCUU